GCGGUGGUUCGGUCGUGGCUGCUGCUGGCUUGGGUGAGCACGGUGGCGGGCAACCUGUCGCUGCUGGGGUCGGCGGCGAACCUGAUCGUGUGCGAGCAGGCUCGGCGGGCGACGCGCAACGCCUACGACCUCACCUUCUGGCAACACAUCGUCUUCGGAGUGCCAUCCACCCUCAUCGUCACCGCCAUCGGCAUACCACUCAUCGGAAAGAUCAACAUCUGAUUGAUCGAUCGAUCUGCCAGCCGCGCGCGCGAUGCAUGCAGGCAUCAACGUAAUACGUAACGACGCCGGCUC
Molecule: long non-coding RNA, 294 nt
Filed under: Sorghum bicolor (sorghum)
Lineage: Eukaryota; Viridiplantae; Streptophyta; Magnoliopsida; Poales; Poaceae
Description: long non-coding RNA (SBIC_LNC001831)
Source: RNAcentral